CUUGCUUGUGAUUAUAUCAAGA
Molecule: non-coding RNA, 22 nt
Filed under: Arabidopsis thaliana (thale cress)
Lineage: Eukaryota; Viridiplantae; Streptophyta; Magnoliopsida; Brassicales; Brassicaceae
Source: RNAcentral